AGGAGUUGUUCUGCCUUGCUCGCUUGACCGCAGGCUAGGUGGGGAGGAGAGACCGGUUCUCGGGUCUCCCGGCUUCGGCCGGCUCGCCUUUUCGGCGGGCGGGUUGAGGUCGGGUGAGCCUUGCGGCCUGAGCUCGUCUGCUCGGUGCCGAUGACGCCAUGUCCGGCCUGGUCGGAGCCCUCGGCUCUCCAGGCUCGCUGGCGGCCCUUGGUGGGAUGCGGGGAUGGUGAUGGUGAUGAUGAUUCUUCGUCGUCGUUUUCUGCGUCCUGCCUCGGGUUUGAAUGUGCACCUGCCCCCCCCCCCCAGUGGAGGGUUGUGAGAAGGAAAAGGUGAUGGAGUUUCUUAGCUGUGGUGCUUGGUGGUGAGGUGGAUGGGUGGCCUGGCUGGCUUCGUCGCCGGUUGGGGGCUGCCCGUCCGCCUCCCCCUUUGCUCCUGAACAAAGAAAAUAUCACACCGUACAGUGGAUCACUUGGCUCGGGGGUCGGUGAAGAACGCAGCUAGCUGCGAGUCGGAAUGUGAACUGCAGGACAUAUGGAGCAUCGACACUUUGAACGCACAUUGCGGACAUGGGCUUGUCCCCUGUCCAUGUCUGGCUCAGGGUCGGCUUUACAUCCAUCCAGCUUGAUUGCUGGCUUUGGGGUUUGUCUCCUCGGCUCGGCUUAGCUUCGAUGCUGAGGAGUCCCCCUAAGAUGUGCCGCCUGCCUAGCCGGAGGUGAGCUCCUUGCUGACUCUUGGGUGUGACUCUGCGUCUGCCUGGGUUGGCGAACUGAAGGGGGCUCGCUUCUGGUGGCGGGCUUGCGGGAGGGGGGGUUUUCUGGUUCCCCCGCCCGAACUGGGCUGCGAUGGACGGCUGGCCUUCCGAAAGGAGGGCUGGCCGCCCUUCGCCGCCUUGCUGUUU
Molecule: ribosomal RNA, 898 nt
Filed under: Sinergasilus major
Lineage: Eukaryota; Metazoa; Arthropoda; Copepoda; Poecilostomatoida; Ergasilidae
Description: eukaryotic LSU rRNA
Rfam family: 5.8S ribosomal RNA (bases 450-603)
Source: RNAcentral